Molecule: ribosomal RNA, 467 nt
Filed under: uncultured bacterium
Lineage: Bacteria
Description: partial 16S ribosomal RNA
Rfam family: Bacterial small subunit ribosomal RNA
Source: RNAcentral
ACGAACGCUGGCGGCGUGCUUAACACAUGCAAGUCGAACGGAAAGGCCCUGCUUUUGUGGGGUGCUCGAGUGGCGAACGGGUGAGUAACACGUGAGUAACCUGCCCUUGACUUUGGGAUAACUUCAGGAAACUGGGGCUAAUACAGGAUAGGAGCUCCUGCUGCAUGGUGGGGGUUGGAAAGUUUCGGCGGUUGGGGAUGGACUCGCGGCUUAUCAGCUUGUUGGUGGGGUAGUGGCUUACCAAGGCUUUGACGGGUAGCCGGCCUGAGAGGGUGACCGGCCACAUUGGGACUGAGAUACGGCCCAGACUCCUACGGGAGGCAGCAGUGGGGAAUAUUGCACAAUGGGCGGAAGCCUGAUGCAGCAACGCCGCGUGCGGGAUGACGGCCUUCGGGUUGUAAACCGCUUUCGCCUGUGACGAAGCGUGAGUGUCGGUAAUGGGUAAAGAAGCACCGGCUAACUACGUG